UCGUGCGCCGUCGACGGCCGUCGCCGGCGUGUGGCCACGGCGAAGGUGGUCGGCCCAGACGGCUCUUUGGUGCAGUUCGCGGCGCCCGUCAUGGCGGGCGAGGCGCUGGGGGACGCCGCCAGCGCGUCGAGCUUCCUGUGCAGCGCCGACGAGCUCCGCUUCGACGCGCCCGCCCGUGCGCUGGCGGCCGAGGAGGCGCUGCAGCCCGGGUGGCUCUACUUCGCGCUGCCCAUGUCCAUGCUCCGCCGGCCGCUCUCCGGGCAGGAGAUGGCCGCCCUCGCCGUCAAGGCCAGCUCCGCGCUCGCCGUCGCCAGCGGUAAGGGGCGGAAGGCGGCUCGGGUGGCGCCUCGCGCGGGAGGAUGGAGUCCCUGA
This 372-nucleotide ribosomal RNA is filed under the name Triticum aestivum (bread wheat). RNAcentral describes it as "partial small subunit ribosomal RNA". The record is from RNAcentral. Lineage: Eukaryota; Viridiplantae; Streptophyta; Magnoliopsida; Poales; Poaceae.